Molecule: ribosomal RNA, 636 nt
Filed under: Enterobacter cancerogenus
Lineage: Bacteria; Pseudomonadati; Pseudomonadota; Gammaproteobacteria; Enterobacterales; Enterobacteriaceae
Description: bacterial SSU rRNA
Rfam family: Bacterial small subunit ribosomal RNA
Source: RNAcentral
UCUGGGAAACUGCCUGAUGGAGGGGGAUAACUACUGGAAACGGUAGCUAAUACCGCAUAACGUCGCAAGACCAAAGAGGGGGACCUUCGGGCCUCUUGCCAUCAGAUGUGCCCAGAUGGGAUUAGCUAGUAGGUGGGGUAACGGCUCACCUAGGCGACGAUCCCUAGCUGGUCUGAGAGGAUGACCAGCCACACUGGAACUGAGACACGGUCCAGACUCCUACGGGAGGCAGCAGUGGGGAAUAUUGCACAAUGGGCGCAAGCCUGAUGCAGCCAUGCCGCGUGUAUGAAGAAGGCCUUCGGGUUGUAAAGUACUUUCAGCGGGGAGGAAGGCGAUAAGGUUAAUAACCUUGUCGAUUGACGUUACCCGCAGAAGAAGCACCGGCUAACUCCGUGCCAGCAGCCGCGGUAAUACGGAGGGUGCAAGCGUUAAUCGGAAUUACUGGGCGUAAAGCGCACGCAGGCGGUCUGUCAAGUCGGAUGUGAAAUCCCCGGGCUCAACCUGGGAACUGCAUUCGAAACUGGCAGGCUAGAGUCUUGUAGAGGGGGGUAGAAUUCCAGGUGUAGCGGUGAAAUGCGUAGAGAUCUGGAGGAAUACCGGUGGCGAAGGCGGCCCCCUGGACAAAGACUGACGCUC